RNAcentral lists this ribosomal RNA (158 nucleotides) under Dothiorella viticola. RNAcentral's name for it is "5.8S ribosomal RNA". It matches the Rfam family "5.8S ribosomal RNA". From Rfam's summary of the family: 5.8S ribosomal RNA (5.8S rRNA) is a component of the large subunit of the eukaryotic ribosome. Lineage: Eukaryota; Fungi; Ascomycota; Dothideomycetes; Botryosphaeriales; Botryosphaeriaceae. The record is from RNAcentral. RNAcentral also lists the same sequence under 2 other names.
GUUAAUAAACUAAAACUUUCAACAACGGAUCUCUUGGUUCUGGCAUCGAUGAAGAACGCAGCGAAAUGCGAUAAGUAAUGUGAAUUGCAGAAUUCAGUGAAUCAUCGAAUCUUUGAACGCACAUUGCGCCCCUUGGUAUUCCGGGGGGCAUGCCUGUU